UUUAACUGAAGAGUUUGAUCAUGGCUCAGAUUGAACGCUGGCGGCAGGCUUAACACAUGCAAGUCGAGCGGGGGAAGGUAGCUUGCUACCGGACCUAGCGGCGGACGGGUGAGUAAUGCUUAGGAAUCUGCCUAUUAGUGGGGGACAACAUCUCGAAAGGGAUGCUAAUACCGCAUACGUCCUACGGG
Molecule: ribosomal RNA, 188 nt
Filed under: Acinetobacter baumannii
Lineage: Bacteria; Pseudomonadati; Pseudomonadota; Gammaproteobacteria; Moraxellales; Moraxellaceae
Description: partial 16S ribosomal RNA
Rfam family: Bacterial small subunit ribosomal RNA
Source: RNAcentral